GCAGCUGGAGGUCCAAGUUGGCAGAGUUGGAACUAGACAAGGAUGGGAAACGGAGAGGUGGGUGCUACAGGAGGACCUGCUUCCACCUGGUUCCGAGCUGUGUUCUCUGGAUGUCUCAGAGUUGACAGAGCUCACGCGGCAGACAGUGGGAGCCCAGGCCAGGGCAGAGGUGGGAGAAGGGAGGCCGGGGACAACCUGGAAAGAUAGAUACUGGAGAGAAGGCUGGCAGGGCUGGGGAGAUGGGGGUCAUGAUGGGAGUGCCUGGGACACCAGGAAUAGGGUCUCCAGAGCGGGAAGCAGUGUAAGAAGGAAGAGCAGGCCGGUGAUCCUUCCUGACAUAAUUUUUGGCUAUAAUUUGGGUAAUAACAGCUCCCAUUGGUGGAGCAUCUACUCUGUGCAGGACCCAUUACCAAUAGCAGUUUAUUUAAUCACACACUGCGAGGUAGCUAUUGGUAUUCCCCACUGACGGAUGAGAAAACAGGGGCUCCCAGACGCCAUGUGGCUCACCCCGGGCCACAGAGCCAGUAAGAGGCACAGUCUGGCUCAGAGGCUUGAAAGCCGGUGACCCAGCCCUGCACCACAGCAGAACAGCGACAGCAGCAUCCUCCACAGAAACGCCCAGCUCCUCGUUCCUCUCCCCUCAUCCCUGGGGUUGACUUCUCCCCAGGCCUUAGGCCUCACCUAGACAUCCAGGGGCCACAGGGCAUGGCGAUAAUUGCCAUUACCCCAAUUUCUUAGGGGCAUUUUUUAAAGACAAUCACAGACUAAAACUCAAAGGGAUGCAUUUCAAUGGCAGAUUCACAGGCCCUGAAACUGUUAAUAGAGGAAGUAAUCCUGAACAGGGGGCUUUUAAUGUCAUUCUCUCUACAAGUCAAAAUGUCUUCCAGGCUGAGGUACGAGCGGCUUUCAGGAUGCCAGGGGCUGGCUCUAACAAGGGCUCAUCUCCCCGGGGAGGCUGGCCAAGGAGGAUAAAGUCCCAACACUCAGCAUGCUGACCCCAGGCGCCUCACAGCAGAAGGCAGCUCCCAAUAAGGGAAGUCACAGCUGGGCUGUUAACAGGAUAACAUUUGCCAAGCAAGAAGAAAAAUUUGUUCCUAAACCUAAUUUCCAGUGAAUUUUUUUUCUAUCCUCUUUUGAUAGACGAGCAGCCUCUGAAGUAGAGAUUAUAUAAAAAUCCAUUUGCAGUGACAUCUACCUAAACAUUAUAGACUCUUCUGGGGGUUCAUGCCCAUUAGUGGGUGAUAAGGCUUAAGCUACAACAUACCCAAAUCCACAUACCGGACUGGAAGGACUUCCUGAGAAAACCAAGCAGUGUACAUGUGCCCGCUGAGGCUGCUUAUUUCAGGUGGUAUUUAAUGCCACAAAAGUAGGCAGGAAGGGUCUAGAAGCUCCCUGGGAACCCCUGCAGAGUAGGCUGGGCCUGUGCUUAUAAAUGAAACACAGGCUUGGGAGCCUGGUGACACCAGCUUGACUCUCACCUCUGCCAACGCUAGCUGUGUUUCCUUGGGCAAACCCAACUUCUUAUCAUUCGGCAGCACCCAUUCACGGUCAACACAUCUCUGUUCAGGGAGACUUCUAUACAAUCAGUGACUCUCAAAGUGAAGAGUGCCGACCACCCGCUUAACCCCGGGACACCUGUUAACACGCAGAUUCCACAGCUUUACCCCACUUCUACUGCGUCUCGUCCUCUGGGAACCAGGCCUCCAGAUCACGUCAGGCUCGCGCACUCAGCCUGUACCCUAUACCUGGGGCUGGUGUGGGGACACGGAGCAGCUGCAGAGGAACCUCCGAGACUAUGCUGCUAUGGCUCUGCGGGCAGCUUUGCCUCAAACCUCAAAAUCAUGAUCCUCUUGGAGGUGGCACCCCCAGGGACAGCGGCUUCUGCUCCGGGCUGUGUGAGCGCUGGGGGACCUUGGUUACGGACUCGCACUGGGUGAGUAAAGUGCUCUGUAACAUACAAGCCACCUCUUCCUGGCUUUUGUCCCUCGUAUCUCAUUAGACAAGCCAGCUUCAGGAAAGGGACGCGUUCUUCCGGGUGGGGGCCGCGUGGCCGCCACCCAGCAGCGGAGCCGUGACUCAGCUCGGCGGGCUCGUGCCCAGGCCAGGGCUGCGCGG
RNAcentral lists this long non-coding RNA (2115 nucleotides) under Equus caballus (horse). RNAcentral describes it as "lncRNA (ENSECAG00000048156.1)". Lineage: Eukaryota; Metazoa; Chordata; Mammalia; Perissodactyla; Equidae. The record is from RNAcentral.